This 97-nucleotide transfer RNA is filed under the name Decorospora gaudefroyi. RNAcentral describes it as "tRNA-Val". Lineage: Eukaryota; Fungi; Ascomycota; Dothideomycetes; Pleosporales; Pleosporaceae. The record is from RNAcentral.
GGCUCGUUGGUGUAGUUGGUUAUCACGUCAGUCUAACACAGCAUCUUCAUGAUGGUUAGUACACUGAAGGUCCGGAGUUCAAACCUCCGAUGAGUCA